RNA transcript from Theobroma cacao (cacao), 2091 nucleotides. It is a transcript of the gene named PHD finger-like domain-containing protein 5A pseudogene, with no coding region annotated. The record is from RefSeq and is a predicted model, not a curated record. Lineage: Eukaryota; Viridiplantae; Streptophyta; Magnoliopsida; Malvales; Malvaceae.
AAGAGGCGGCCAGCCCCUGUAGAAAAGGGAAAAACCAAGUAAACAAUCUUUUCUCUGCAUUGGCGCUUCUGUCUCUCUCAGAGUUGCAGGAAUUACGCAGCGUGUUGAUUAAAGCAUGGCCAAGCACCAUCCUGAUUUGAUCAUGUGCCGGAAACAACCAGGGGAGGUGUGUUGUCUGCGGAGGACUGGGGAUAUCUGAUGCAUACUACUGCAAAGAGUGUACACAGCUGGAGAAAGAUCGGGAUGGUUGUCCCAAAAUCGUCAAUCUGGGGAGUGCCAAAACAGACUUGUUCUAUGAACGUAAGAAGUACAUGUGCAAGCUUAUUGGAUCUUGGAUUUUACAAUAUGAAGUAACUCUCUUUAUUUUUAUAAGCUUCGCCCCUUGCUCAAGAUUUGGACCUAAUACCUUUUAAUAGAAAAUCUUAAGUUCUAAUUGUUGGGAUAUUUUCUUCAGGACAUGUCAGUGCUAUUUGUAAGAUAUGUCAACAUUAUUCUUUAAUAUUUAUGUUAUUCCUAGGGUCACUUUGGAUUCAGCAACCUGUUCAGUACUUCUAUCCUAUUAGUGAUCAAUUUGUCUGCUGGAUAGAAUCCAAAUGAAUUUAUUUGAUUACUAGGGUAGCUUUGCUUUCUGUAAUCUGUUCGGUUCUUCAAUCUGGUGCUUUCCUGUUGAUUAAGUUUGUCUCGUGAACAGAAUGUAAAGGAGAUGUUGAUUGAUUAGUGGUUAAGGUGAAGCUUUUAUGGCACAAUGUGAAAAAGCUGGUUAUGUUGGGUGAAGAUGCUUUCCACCAUGCAAGUUUUUUCUGAUGGGCUUGCCAUUGAUUAUCCAUUGUAUAUGGAGGAACCACUUUACUGGGAAACAAUGGGAUUGCCAAAGUGAUUGCUGUUACAAUUGACGGAGAAAAUGGAGAAGCACUUGGUGAUGAACCUGUAAAGAAUUAUGGUAAAUGGCCCUUCACACAGGUUUAUGGGAUUCAGUUGUCUUUUUAAUGCAUCAAACCUCAAUGAAGUUUGUUUCUGUUUAAUUUGGAAAUUUUUCAUAGUUUUCUGCAGUAUUAAUUUUGAUGUGGCCCAUUAAUCUGCUCAGGAACCUGCUUCUUUCACGUUUUCUGUACUCAACCUAGCAAUGCAUUUUCAUGGUUGACUAUCCUUUUUGAUCCUUUUUUACUGUAAUUACCUCUAAAACAAGAGAAGAAGGCCUACUAUAUGUUUGCAAGUUUGUGGCACGUAUAUGAGCUCUUGUUGAUAAACUCGUGAAUCUGGAGUGUUGUUUUCCAUUGUUAGUAAGCAUCUUUCAGUUCACCUCUCCACCCUAUCCCACUAUUGCCCCUUCAGAUUUAUUUGGCUGGCUCUCUAAUCAACAAUAUCAGUGAUUUUUUUGAGAUGGUACCUUCAAACCUUGAUAUGGCUUCAAAAUAUAGGUCAAUGCUAUAUUCAGUAGAAUUUAUUUGCUGGUUUGGACAAGCAUUUUUCUAUUAAGCAGUGCAUUAAUGUUGAUCCUGGUUGCAUAUUCUUAUUGACCGAACAUCCUUCUCUAAAUGGUUUCUGCACAUAAUUUUCCUGCAUUACUGGUUCCAAUGACAUGAGGUCAAACGUUAUACAGUGUGAAAUAUGAAAGGUUGGGUUGUCAAUGGGGCUGCUCAACCUCUCAUUUGGGUGAUUUGGGCUGCUAAGACUGCCCAUCCUUGUCAGUGGAUGUUGUGGGUGGGGGUUCUUGGAGGUGGCCUCGCAAAGCUUCUAGAGAUCUAUGAUUCCUCUCCAUUGCAAGGAAUCAUUGAUGCCAAUGCUUUCUGUCAUGCCGCCACUAUUCUCCUUACCUGCAUAUUGUGGAGUUUAUUAGGUACGAUGCAAAGUUUUGAACUUCCAAUAUCCUUAAGAAGACCAAGUAGCCCCCUGGAAGAUUGAUGCUGUAAGAAGACUGUGUUUAUUAACUGGUAUAAGGGUUUUAUUUUGUUUGUUCUUGUUAUGCUUCAGAAAUGAAGGAUAUUUGCUUCGCUGGGAUUCUGAGUUGGUUGAAACUUGGAACUCAUUUAGAUGCUGGAAUUGGAUUUUGCAAUGGAAGUUAAAGUUAUAAGAUGGAAAUAAUUCGAUUCU